AACGAACGCUGGCGGCAUGCCUAACACAUGCAAGUCGAACGAGACCUUCGGGUCUAGUGGCGCACGGGUGCGUACCGCGUGGGAACCUGCCCUUAGGUUCGGAAUAACUGCCCGAAGGGGGUGCUAAUACCGGAUAAUGUCUUCGGACCUAAGAUUUAUCGCCUUUUGAUGGGCCCGCGUCGGAUUAGCUAGUUGGUAGGGUAAAAGCCUACCAAGGCGACGAUCCAUAGCUGGUCGGAGAGGAUGAUCAGCCACACUGGGACUGGGACACGGCCCAGACGCCUACGGGAGGCAGCAGUGGUGAAUAAUGGACAGGGGGCGAAAGCCUGAUCCAGCAAGGCCGGGUGAGUGAUGAAGGCCUUAGGGUUGUAAUGCUCUUUUACCCGGGAUGAUAAUGACAGUACCGGUAGAAUAGGCCCCGGCUAACUCCGU
This 432-nucleotide ribosomal RNA is filed under the name uncultured bacterium. RNAcentral's name for it is "partial 16S ribosomal RNA". It matches the Rfam family "Bacterial small subunit ribosomal RNA", at positions 29 to 506 of the family's 1533-position model. The record is from RNAcentral.